GAUGAACGCUGGCGGCGUGCCUAAUACAUGCAAGUCGAGCGAACAGACGAGGAGCUUGCUCCUCUGACGUUAGCGGCGGACGGGUGAGUAACACGUGGAUAACCUACCUAUAAGACUGGGAUAACUUCGGGAAACCGGAGCUAAUACCGGAUAAUAUAUUGAACCGCAUUGUUCAAUAGUGAAAGACGGUUUUGCUGUCACUUAUAGAUGGAUCCGCGCCGCAUUAGCUAGUUGGUAAGGUAACGGCUUACCAAGGCAACGAUGCGUAGCCGACCUGAGAGGGUGAUCGGCCACACGGGAACUGAGACACGGUCCAGACUCCUACGGGAGGCAGCAGUAGGGAAUCUUCCGCAAUGGGCGAAAGCUUGACGGAGCAACGCCGCGUGAGUGAUGAAGGUCUUCGGAUCGUAAAACUCUGUUAGUAGGGAAGAACAAAUGUGUAAGUAACUAUGCACGUCUUGACGGUACCUAAUCAGAAAGCCACGGCUAACUACGUG
RNAcentral lists this ribosomal RNA (497 nucleotides) under uncultured bacterium. RNAcentral's name for it is "partial 16S ribosomal RNA". It matches the Rfam family "Bacterial small subunit ribosomal RNA", at positions 28 to 507 of the family's 1533-position model. The record is from RNAcentral.